CUCGAGGAGAGACACUCUGUGGCUACAUGUCAUAAUUCCCCUUCCUAACCUGGCUGCUAUACAGAUGGAGGCAAUUGGUGGAGAAAAAGCUCCUUACUCCCUCAAGCUUGACUGUCUAAAUAGGAUGAAAUUUCAGGAGCCCACUAGAGCCUAGCAGAGAAGGACUGAGCAUUUGGAUUGCACAGGAAAUUGUCUGAGCACAGUAAGUAGCCUUGUUGG
Molecule: long non-coding RNA, 219 nt
Filed under: Fukomys damarensis (Damara mole-rat)
Lineage: Eukaryota; Metazoa; Chordata; Mammalia; Rodentia; Bathyergidae
Description: lncRNA (ENSFDAG00000025366.1)
Source: RNAcentral